AGUGUUGGAUUGUUCACCCA
This 20-nucleotide small nuclear RNA is filed under the name Arabidopsis thaliana (thale cress). Its description in RNAcentral is "snRNA_00467". The record is from RNAcentral. Lineage: Eukaryota; Viridiplantae; Streptophyta; Magnoliopsida; Brassicales; Brassicaceae.